Long non-coding RNA from Hemicordylus capensis (graceful crag lizard), 887 nucleotides. RefSeq lists it as uncharacterized. The transcript has 3 exons. The record is from RefSeq and is a predicted model, not a curated record. Lineage: Eukaryota; Metazoa; Chordata; Lepidosauria; Squamata; Cordylidae.
GGGCAGCGGCAAGUAAGCCGAGGGGACGGAGCCGUUCGGGCAGCGGGUCCAGGCGGCGCUCGCUCGGCAGAGGGCGUCCCGCUUGCGGCUAGAGCGGAGCCGGGAGGAGCCUCCUGCGCUGCGCGGCUCGGCUCGACUGGGGAGGAGCUCCUGUUGCCGCCGCCGCCGCUUGUGCCACGUCCACCGGGCUGAGCCGAGCCGAGCCGAGCCGAGCCAGGAAGCGGCUGGAGUCCCAGCACGUGUGCGCCCGCCGCAUUUGAUAUGCAUCCGUUUGUGGUCUGAGCCAGCUCUUGGGACAAACUGAGCUCCUGGUACUAAAGCUUCUCUCUGGUUUGUGGGAACAUGAGACUUCGGAGGGGAAUCUCCAGCUAGAGGUUGACAUACAGGAAUAAGCAUCUUCCUACCUCCGUGGCAUCUUCCAGAACUUAAUUUGGUUUGGUUGACGGAGCGGCCUGAAGAAGAAAGGGAAGAAUGAGACAGCUGAAAGGGAAGCCCAAAAAAGAGACAUCCAAAGACAAGAAAGAGAGAAAGCAAGCCAUGCAAGAAGCCCGGCAGCAGGUUGCAACGGUGGUGCUUCCUACACUGGCUGUGGUGGUACUUUUGAUUGUGGUCUUCGUUUACGUGGCCACCCGUCCAAAUACAACUGAAUGAUAUGGAUUUUUGAACUCUAACUUUGGGCAAGCAUGCCCACCCACUACUCUGCCAAGAAAAAAAAAAGCCUUUCCCAAUUUCCCAGUUAUUAGUAUUCUUUCUACAAAGGAAUCUCCUUUUAUCUUCUUUCUUUUACUUGCUUCAAGCUUUGUGGUUUCUCUCUUGGAAUGUAAAAUAGAACGUAUUUGCUACUAUGGCAAAAACCCCACAAAAAAUAAAUUUUAGGUUCCAGCAUA